RNAcentral lists this transfer RNA (73 nucleotides) under Halobacteriales archaeon QH_7_66_36. Its description in RNAcentral is "tRNA-Arg". It matches the Rfam family "tRNA". Rfam says of the family: Transfer RNA (tRNA) molecules are approximately 80 nucleotides in length. The record is from RNAcentral. Lineage: Archaea; Methanobacteriati; Methanobacteriota; Halobacteria; Halobacteriales. RNAcentral also lists the same sequence under 1 other name.
GAGCCCGUAGCUCAGUGGACAGAGUACUUGGUUCCGGACCAAGAGGUCACGGGUUCAAAUCCCGUCGGGCUCG